This 28-nucleotide small RNA is filed under the name Bombyx mori (domestic silkworm). RNAcentral's name for it is "ovarian small RNA-10923". The record is from RNAcentral. Lineage: Eukaryota; Metazoa; Arthropoda; Insecta; Lepidoptera; Bombycidae.
ACAACAGCCACAAUGUCGGGGCACUGCA